AUGGGGAAGGGGCGGCCGGGCCCCCGCGCGAGGUGUCGCGGGGCCGAGCGGGGCGCGGCGGGGCGGGGCGGGGCGGGGCGGGGCGCGGCGCGGCGGGGCGGGGCGCGGCGGCGAGCGGCAGCGGGCGCCGGGCAGGGGGCUCGGGCUCCAGUUCGAGGGGCGGGGAAGGCGGGUGACGUGAGCCGGGCCGGGCGGGCGGAGUUGGGACCCGCUGGGGAGGCGGGGGCGAGCGCGCCGAGAGGCAGACGCGCGGAGGGAGGCGGCCGAGCGGGCGGGCGGCUCUGCGGCGGGCGCGGUGGGCGCGGGCGGCGGGGCCCCGGGAUCCCCGCGCGCCUCCUCGGCGCCGCGCCGCCGCCGCGCGUCCCCACGCCCCGCGCCGCACGGCGCCCUCGCCCCGCGCGCCCCCCGCGCCCGCCUCCUGCCGGCCCCGGCGCCGCGGCCGUCUGCAAGGAGCGCUCAGACGGAGCCCCCGGACAACCCGAGCGGCGCCGGCCGGCGGCGCAGCCCCGCGAGAGCCCCCUGACCUGGCUGCGCGCGGGGGCCCCCCGCGUCCCGCCGCGUCGCCGCCGCCCGCUCCCCCGGGCCGCGCCGCCCCCUCGGCGCGGGGCUCGGACCGCAGGCGGGAGACACGCACGGUGCGCGGCGGCGCCGCCCGGCCUCCCUCCCCGCCGCCCCGGAGGCCGACGCCGCGUCUCCGCCGCCUCUCCCCGCGCGGCCGCAGCGCCGGAGCGCGCCCCGCCCGGGCCGGCCGUGGGCGCCCCCGCCUCGCUGCCGCCUUCGCCCGCUCGCCCCCGGAGGGGCGGCGAGCCCCGCGCCCCGGCUGGAGGAUGUGCGCCCCCGCGGGCCGCCCCGCCUGAGCCAUGCGCCCCAACGGCGGCGGCGCGCCGGCCGGCAUGGAGCCCCGCGCGGCCGCGCUCUGACUCGCUCUGCGCCCCGCGGCCGGCGGGCGGCGGGCGGCGGGCGGCGGGCGGCGGGCGGCGGCGGACGGAGAGCCGGAGACCGGCGCCGCGGGACGGAAGCGAGCGGGCGCGGGCGCGGGCGCCGCGCAGAUGGCCGGGGCGAGCAAGGUCUGAGGCUCCGCUCCCCGAAACGUGA
This 1095-nucleotide long non-coding RNA is filed under the name Canis lupus familiaris (dog). RNAcentral describes it as "lncRNA (ENSCAFG00040008173.1)". Lineage: Eukaryota; Metazoa; Chordata; Mammalia; Carnivora; Canidae. The record is from RNAcentral.